GGGGAAUAUUGGGCAAUGGGGGAAACCCUGACCCAGCAACGCCGCGUGAAGGAAGAAGGUUUUCGGAUUGUAAACUUCUGUCCUUGGUGAAGAGGAGAAGACGGUAGCCAAGGAGGAAGCCCCGGCUAACUACGUGCCAGCAGCCGCGGUAAUACGUAGGGGGCGAGCGUUGUCCGGAAUGAUUGGGCGUAAAGGGCGCGUAGGCGGCUUUGUAAGUCUGGAGUGAAAGUCCUCUUUUCAAGGGAGGAAUUGCUUUGGAAACUAUAGAGCUUGAGUGCAGGAGAGGUUAUCGGAAUUCCCGGUGUAGCGGUGAAAUGCGUAGAUAUCGGGAGGAACAUCGGUGGCGAAGGCGGGUAACUGGACUGCAACUGACGCUGAGGCGCGAAAGUGUGGGGAGCAAACA
This 403-nucleotide ribosomal RNA is filed under the name uncultured bacterium. RNAcentral describes it as "bacterial SSU rRNA". It matches the Rfam family "Bacterial small subunit ribosomal RNA", at positions 356 to 774 of the family's 1533-position model. The record is from RNAcentral.